CCCAGACUCCUACGGGAGGCAGCAGUGAGGAAUAUUGGUCAAUGGGCGGAAGCCUGAACCAGCCAAGUCGCGUGAGGGAAGAAGGCCCUGCGGGUCGCAGACCUCUUUGGACGGGGAGCAAGGCCGCCGACGUGUCGGCGGAAGGAGAGUACCCGUAGAACAAGCAUCGGCUAACUACGUGCCAGCAGCCGCGGUAAUACGUAGGGAGCAAGCGUUGUCCGGAAUUACUGGGCGUAAAGGGCGCGUAGGUGGGCGCUUAAGUCAGGUGUGAAAACUCCGGGCUCAACCUGGAGACUGCACUUGAAACUGGGUGUCUUGAGGGCAGGAGAGGAAAGUGGAAUUCCUAGUGUAGCGGUGAAAUGCGUAGAUAUUAGGAGGAACACCAGUGGCGAAGGCGACUUUCUGGACUGUACCUGACGCUGAGGCGCGAAAGCGUGGGUAGCGAACGGGAUUAGAUACCCCUGUA
This 466-nucleotide ribosomal RNA is filed under the name uncultured bacterium. RNAcentral's name for it is "bacterial SSU rRNA". It matches the Rfam family "Bacterial small subunit ribosomal RNA", at positions 330 to 792 of the family's 1533-position model. The record is from RNAcentral.